UCCGUCCAAGGCUAAAUACGGG
This 22-nucleotide small nuclear RNA is filed under the name Arabidopsis thaliana (thale cress). Its description in RNAcentral is "snRNA_17648". The record is from RNAcentral. Lineage: Eukaryota; Viridiplantae; Streptophyta; Magnoliopsida; Brassicales; Brassicaceae.